ACCAGUGUGGUGUAGUGGUUUGAGUACUGGACUAGGAGUCUGGAAACCAGGGUUCGAAUCCCAGCUCGGCCA
Phrynosoma platyrhinos (Desert horned lizard) is the source of this 72-nucleotide non-coding RNA. Lineage: Eukaryota; Metazoa; Chordata; Lepidosauria; Squamata; Phrynosomatidae. The record is from the annotation of a GenBank genome assembly.